RNAcentral lists this ribosomal RNA (499 nucleotides) under uncultured bacterium. RNAcentral's name for it is "partial 16S ribosomal RNA". It matches the Rfam family "Bacterial small subunit ribosomal RNA", at positions 28 to 523 of the family's 1533-position model. The record is from RNAcentral.
GAUGAACGCUGGCGGCGUGCCUAACACAUGCAAGUCGAGCGAGAUAAAUGUGAGUGGAGACUUCGGUCAAAGCAAUCAUUUUGAAAGCGGCGGACGGGUGAGUAACGCGUGAGCAAUCUGCCCCAUACAAAGGGAUACCCACUGGAAACGGUGAUUAAUACCUUAUAAGACCACGAAGUCGCCUGGCUUAGUGGCCAAAGAUUUAUCGGUAUGGAACGAGCUCGCGUCUGAUUAGCUAGUUGGUGAGGUAAUGGCUCACCAAGGCGACGAUCAGUAGCCGACCUGAGAGGGUGAACGGCCACACUGGAACUGAGACACAGUCCAGACUCCUACGGGAGGCAGCAGUGGGGAAUAUUGCACAAUGGGCGCAAGCCUGAUGCAGCAACGCCGCGUGAAUGAUGAAGGCCUUCGGGUCGUAAAGUUCUGUCCUAAGGGAAGAAUACAGUGACGGUACCUUAGGAGGAAGCCCCGGCUAACUACGUGCCAGCCGCCGCAGUAA